This 503-nucleotide ribosomal RNA is filed under the name Ligilactobacillus ruminis. RNAcentral's name for it is "bacterial SSU rRNA". It matches the Rfam family "Bacterial small subunit ribosomal RNA", at positions 160 to 649 of the family's 1533-position model. Lineage: Bacteria; Bacillati; Bacillota; Bacilli; Lactobacillales; Lactobacillaceae. The record is from RNAcentral.
GUGCUAAUACCGCAUAACCAUGAACACCGCAUGAUGUUCAUGUAAAAGACGGCUUUUGCUGUCACUUUUGGAUGGGCCUGCGGCGUAUUAACUUGUUGGUGGGGUAACGGCCUACCAAGGUGAUGAUACGUAGCCGAACUGAGAGGUUGAUCGGCCACAUUGGGACUGAGACACGGCCCAAACUCCUACGGGAGGCAGCAGUAGGGAAUCUUCCACAAUGGACGAAAGUCUGAUGGAGCAACGCCGCGUGAAUGAAGAAGGCCUUCGGGUCGUAAAAUUCUGUUGUCAGAGAAGAACGUGCGUGAGAGUAACUGUUCACGUAUUGACGGUAUCUGACCAGAAAGCCACGGCUAACUACGUGCCAGCAGCCGCGGUAAUACGUAGGUGGCAAGCGUUGUCCGGAUUUAUUGGGCGUAAAGGGAACGCAGGCGGUCUUUUAAGUCUGAUGUGAAAGCCUUCGGCUUAACCGAAGUAGUGCAUUGGAAACUGGAAGACUUGAGUGC